GACGAACGCUGGCGGCGUGCCUAACACAUGCAAGUCGAGCGAGGACUUCGGUCCUAGCGGCGGACGGGUGAGUAACACGUGGGCAACCUGCCUCAUAGUGGGGGAUAGCCUUCCGAAAGGAAGAUUAAUACCGCAUAACAUCAAAGCUUUGCAUAAAGUUUUGAUCAAAGGAGUAAUCCGCUAUGAGAUGGGCCCCGCGGCGCAUUAGCUAGUUGGUAAGGUAAUGGCUUACCAAGGCGACGAUGCGUAGCCGACCUGAGAGGGUGAUCGGCCACAUUGGAACUGAGAUACGGUCCAGACUCCUACGGGAGGCUG
Molecule: ribosomal RNA, 315 nt
Filed under: uncultured Bacillota bacterium
Lineage: Bacteria; Bacillati; Bacillota
Description: bacterial SSU rRNA
Rfam family: Bacterial small subunit ribosomal RNA
Source: RNAcentral